UACGAAGGGGGCUAGCGUUGCUCGGAAUCACUGGGCGUAAAGCGCACGUAGGCGGCUUUUUAAGUCAGGGGUGAAAUCCUGGAGCUCAACUCCAGAACUGCCUUUGAAACUGUUAGACUUGAGUACGAGAGAGGUGAGUGGAAUUCCCAGUGUAGAGGUGAAAUUCGUAGAUAUUGGGAAGAACACCAGUGGCGAAGGCGGCUCACUGGCUCGUAACUGACGCUCAGGCGCGACAGCGUGGGGAUCAAACAGG
This 253-nucleotide ribosomal RNA is filed under the name uncultured bacterium. RNAcentral's name for it is "partial 16S ribosomal RNA". It matches the Rfam family "Bacterial small subunit ribosomal RNA", at positions 524 to 776 of the family's 1533-position model. The record is from RNAcentral.